GCGGAGGAAAAGAAACCAACAGGGAUUGCCUCAGUAACGGCGAGUGAAGCGGCAACAGCUCAAAUUUGAAAUCUGGCCCCAGGCCCGAGUUGUAAUUUGCAGAGGAUGCUUCCGGUGCGGCGCCGUCCAAGUCCCCUGGAACGGGGUGCCACAGAGGGUGAGAGCCCCGUCGGGUCGGCCGCCAAGCCUAUGUGAAGCUCCUUCGACGAGUCGAGUAGUUUGGGAAUGCUGCUCUAAAUGGGAGGUAGACCCCUUCUAAAGCUAAAUACCGGCCAGAGACCGAUAGCGCACAAGUAGAGUGAUCGAAAGAUGAAAAGCACUUUGAAAAGAGGGUUAAACAGUACGUGAAAUUGUUGAAAGGGAAGCGCUUGUGACCAGACGUGCGCCGGGCGUUCAGCGGGCGUUCUCGCCCGUGUACUCGCCCCGGCGCAGGCCAGCGUCGGUUCGGAUGGGUGGACAAAGGUGCUAGGAACGUGGCUCCCUCGGGAGUGUUAUAGCCUGGUGCGUCAUGCCCCCGUCCGGACCG
Molecule: ribosomal RNA, 526 nt
Filed under: Menispora glauca
Lineage: Eukaryota; Fungi; Ascomycota; Sordariomycetes; Chaetosphaeriales; Chaetosphaeriaceae
Description: eukaryotic LSU rRNA
Rfam family: Eukaryotic large subunit ribosomal RNA
Source: RNAcentral